GAGAACAAAGUGAGCAUUCAGCUUCCCUAUCCUUUUGAGAUGUUGCCAAGAAGGCUGCCUCUUACCUCACCCAGAACACUGAGGGAAUCUGCACAACUAUAUCAGCUAAUCUGUCUGUGGCCUGUUGGGCCAGCUGACCAGCAUGUGGAGACCCCAGUAGCCAGACAACCCAUGGACUUUGACAGCUGGUGUUCCACAUACCACCACAGUUGGAACCAGUACAUUUCCAGAGUGGGCAUGCAGACCUCAACAUCCAGCAAAGACCUCAGCAGAUGACUCAAUUUUGCAGGAUUGAAAGAAGUUCUGAUUCCUGUUCAAGAUAGCCGACUAGCAACAUAAGAUACCCGCCCUCUCCAGGAAGCAAAAUCAAAAUUAUGAACACAUAAUCAACUUCAAAUAGAACAUCUAGGACUAAUACUGGAGUCCAACAGAGAAAUCAUGGGAAGCACCUGAAGCGAGAAGAAGAAGGAAA
This 472-nucleotide long non-coding RNA is filed under the name Homo sapiens (human). RNAcentral describes it as "HSALNT0090827". Lineage: Eukaryota; Metazoa; Chordata; Mammalia; Primates; Hominidae. The record is from RNAcentral.